AGUGAACGCUGGCGGUAGGCCUAACACAUGCAAGUCGAACGGCAGCACAGUAAGAGCUUGCUCUUACGGGUGGCGAGUGGCGGACGGGUGAGGAAUACAUCGGAAUCUACUUUUUCGUGGGGGAUAACGUAGGGAAACUUACGCUAAUACCGCAUACGACCUACGGGUGAAAGCAGGGGAUCCUCGGACCUUGCGCGAUUGAAUGAGCCGAUGUCGGAUUAGCUAGUUGGCGGGGUAAAGGUCCACCAAGGCGACGAUCCGUAGCUGGUCUGAGAGGAUGAUCAGCCACACUGGAACUGAGACACGGUCCAGACUCCUACGGGAGGCAGCAGUGGGGAAUAUUGGACAAUGGGCGCAAGCCUGAUCCAGCCAUACCGCGUGGGUGAAGAAGGCCUUCGGGUUGUAAAGCCCUUUUGUUGGGAAAGAAAAGCAGCAGGUUAAUACCCCGCUGUUCUGACGGUACCCAAAGAAUAAGCACCGGCUAACUUCGUG
Molecule: ribosomal RNA, 492 nt
Filed under: uncultured bacterium
Lineage: Bacteria
Description: partial 16S ribosomal RNA
Rfam family: Bacterial small subunit ribosomal RNA
Source: RNAcentral